ACCAGACUCCUACGGGAGGCAGCAGUGGGGGAUAUUGCACAAUGGGGGGAACCCUGAUGCAGCGACGCCGCGUGGGUGAAGAAGCGCCUCGGCGCGUAAAGCCCUGUCAGCAGGGAAGAAAAUGACGGUACCUGAAGAAGAAGCCCCGGCUAACUACGUGCCAGCAGCCGCGGUAAUACGUAGGGGGCAAGCGUUAUCCGGAUUUACUGGGUGUAAAGGGGGCGCAGACGGCGAUGCAAGCCAGGAGUGAAAGCCCGGGGCCCAACCCCGGGACUGCUCUUGGAACUGCGUGGCUGGAGUGCAGGAGGGGCAGGCGGAAUUCCUGGUGUAGCGGUGAAAUGCGUAGAUAUCAGGAGGAACACCGGUGGCGAAGGCGGCCUGCUGGACUGCAACUGACGUUGAGGCCCGAAAGCGUGGGGAGCAAACAGGAUUAGAUACCCGGGUACGG
RNAcentral lists this ribosomal RNA (448 nucleotides) under uncultured bacterium. Its description in RNAcentral is "bacterial SSU rRNA". It matches the Rfam family "Bacterial small subunit ribosomal RNA", at positions 330 to 793 of the family's 1533-position model. The record is from RNAcentral.